CAGUCGCCACGGUAAUGCGAAGGGGGCUAGCGUUGCUCGGAAUGACUGGGCGUAAAGGGCGCGUAGGCGGCGGCCAAAGUCAGGCGUGAAAUUCCCGGGCUCAACCUGGGGGCUGCGUUUGAUACUUGGUUGCUUGAGUGGGGAAGAGGGUCGUGGAAUUCCCAGUGUAGAGGUGAAAUUCGUAGAUAUUGGGAAGAACACCGGUGGCGAAGGCGGCGACCUGGUCCUUUACUGACGCUGAGGCGCGAAAGCGUGGGGAGCAAACAGGAUUAGAUACCCCCGUAGUCCCUGUCCCUUAUAC
RNAcentral lists this ribosomal RNA (301 nucleotides) under uncultured bacterium. RNAcentral's name for it is "partial 16S ribosomal RNA". It matches the Rfam family "Bacterial small subunit ribosomal RNA", at positions 509 to 807 of the family's 1533-position model. The record is from RNAcentral.